UCUCCGUAGGUGAACCUGCGGAAGGAUCAUUAUUGUAUAACCGAGGUGCGAGGGCUGUCGCUGACCCGAAAGGUCGUGCACGCCCGAGUGCCCUCACACACAUCCAUCUCACCCCUAUGUGCACCACCGCGUGGGUCCCCCUUUGGCUUGUUCGGAGGGGGGCUUACGUUUUCACACAAACUUUGUAUGCAGUGUAGAAUGUAUUUUUUGUUUUUGCGAUCACGCAAUCAAUACAACUUUCAACAACGGAUCUCUUGGCUCAC
RNAcentral lists this unclassified non-coding RNA (263 nucleotides) under plant metagenome. Its description in RNAcentral is "partial contains small subunit ribosomal RNA, internal transcribed spacer 1, and 5.8S ribosomal RNA". The record is from RNAcentral.